UAUAUUAUUUCCUCGAUGCUGAAGAGCGAAUUAAUUUCUUGAGGAAAUUUGUUAUUAGAAGUAUCGACAUGGCAAUAUAAGAACGAUGUACAUAAUUGUUAGUAGGACUCGAAUUUUAAAGCAUAAUAAGCAAAUAAAAAAAAUCACACGAUUGUUUUAAAAGAGUAGAAAAGAAGCAUAUUAUAUUUAUUUUUAAAAAAGAAAAAAAACAUUACCAAAAGGCAAAAAUUAACAUGAACUAGUUAUAAAAAUGAAUAAAAAAAAAUUUGAAAAAUUAAUUUAAAUUUAAAAAAGAAUUAUUAAAUACCAUGUAUUUCCUAGAUUUUCAGAAAUGAAACUGACUAUUGUCCGACAGAAUAUUUUUAUAGAAAACGAACUCUCUACAUCCACUGAAGUGAUUAGUGCAAACUUCAUUCAAGAGGUUUUAAAAUACAACACUAAAUCUUAAAUUUUGAAACGAUCGAUAGGUAUCGAUGUUAUAGGCAUACUGAUAGUAUAGGUACUGCAGGCUAUAUUACCUAUAUAUAGAUCGAAAAUCUAUACAUUUAAUAAACAAGCCGAUAACGAAAACAAUAAUAAUCUAAUACCUGCAUUCUGGGUUUUUAUAUUUCUUAUUAAAAUUUUUUUUUAUUACAAUAGCAUAAUAAACAUACAAAAUUCAUAGCUGGAAUAAUUGAAAAAAAAAUAAAAAAGCAAAAAAAGCAUUUACAUAAAAAAGCACAAAUAAAUUGGUUUAUUUUGAUCAGAAUGAUGAGAUUGUGAAACAAAUUUAUGUAUAAAAAUUAGAUUUUUAUCUCCUAAAUAACAAAAGAAGCAUAUGCUUUAAAAUCUGAGCCCUAGUUAUUACUGUCUAAUUGGUUACCUAUAGAAAAUUAUAUUAAAUGUAUUUUUAUCAUAAUUUUAUAAUGAGAUUGAAUGACUUUGGUUGGUCAAUUGCAAACAUUUUGAUAAUUUGAAUAACUAUAUUUUUAUUAUAAAGUGUUACAGAUUUAUAAUGAUAAAAUUCAAGGCUCACAAUUAAUUUCCCCCUGGCUUGGAAAAACUUUGGGAUUGCUUUGGUCAUAAUAUAAUAUCAAAUUUUCAUAAAAAAACCAAAAUAUUAUACUUAAACAAUAUUAUAUUAAUACUUGUAUAAGCACAUAUAUAGUCAGUACAUUACGAGCAUAAUAUAUUAAUACAUUAAACAGUAAUAAUUUAGUAUUAUUUUAAGAAAAUAUCUCUUCAAAAGAAUAGAUGUGGUGAUUAAAUGAUUUAUUAGCAUAUAUUUCAUUCUGGUUCAAAAACUUUAAAUAACAUAAAACACUCGGUUAUGUUGUAGGUAUCUCGUAUCUGUAUUUUAAAGAAUUUAUUGUUUUUAAGUUUAAUUUCCGGAAGAGCAUAUUGAUUGGUGAGAAUAUUUAGAGAGGUCAUCUGAGAUACAUAAAAAAAACAAAAUAUAUUUUAUAAUCACUUAAUUACCUACCUAGUCAAAUUCCAAUACUGUGAGGAACUCUAUAGCAUUACAUAGGCAGACAGAGUAGACAAACCCAUUAAUUAUUGAGGAGCGUGGCUACGCGCAACGCGCCAACGCCACGUGAAUCCAAAGGGAUUGUAUUUUUGGGAAAAUGUUACAGUUACCACACGGAGACAUAAUAUAGCAGUAUAUGUAAGUUCUUACACAAAAAAAAAUAUUCUAGUAUUAUGAGUCAUAUUAUAUUAUUAUGUAAAUUCCUGUAGACAAAUAAUAAAAAUGUAAAAUAUUAUGUAAGUUUCUAUAAACGAUCCAAAACUAUGCUCCUACGUAUAAAUGAAAAAAUCGCGAAAAUAUGUCAAAUUCCCUUCCUAUAUUAUUCAGAUUUAGGACAAAGACCAGACCAAGUGAUUGUAAGAAAAACUAAAAAGUAUAUUUAGAUUAGAUUUAAGUUAAAUAUUUUAUUAUUAUUAUUAAAAACCAGGGAAGUCGUUUUGUUGUACUUAAAGUAAGUAUUCUGAAUACUUCGUCAUUGAGAAGGUCACUGAAAUAAUGGAAGUAUUCAAUUUAAAUUCAAUAAUAAAUCAAUAUAUAUUAUGUAAGUAUACAUACAAUGACAAUUCAUUCUGAACGGAGGCCUAUAUUCCUAAAGAUGUUUUAUUACACAUUAUUAUUAUUUACUAUUAUGUAUAAUAAUUAAUUUUUCUAUUGGUAAAUAAUAAUCUGUCAU
Molecule: long non-coding RNA, 2180 nt
Organism: Aphis gossypii (cotton aphid)
Lineage: Eukaryota; Metazoa; Arthropoda; Insecta; Hemiptera; Aphididae
Exons: 3
Source: RefSeq, a predicted model, not a curated record